This 609-nucleotide long non-coding RNA is filed under the name Ursus americanus (American black bear). RNAcentral's name for it is "lncRNA (ENSUAMG00000010067.1)". Lineage: Eukaryota; Metazoa; Chordata; Mammalia; Carnivora; Ursidae. The record is from RNAcentral.
CUGGGUUCGUCUGUGGCGUAGGGAGGCUGCUUUCUGGCCACCGGCGGGGCGGGCGACAACAGCGUUUCAGUAGGCAGGCUGGCUGGUGUGUCGGGGUUCAGGGAAUAUGGCGGGGAACCGGCGUAGAGGUAUACGAGCUCUUCGAAAGCAGACUGUCAUUGCUUCCGUGUUCUGAUCAUUCAGAGAUUAGGAGAUACAGUUCCUGCCUUUGGUUUACAUACAGCCAUGUGGAGCAGACACAGGUCAAUAGUUGCUGUAUGCCACUAAAAAAGAGAUUUAUCAGCAGGUUGCAGGUGAACAUGGCCUUGAGGUAAAUCCUGCCCCUUGUUGAAAUUCAGUUUCAGCAGAUUAUUCAUGAUAUUUUGGGAACUGGAAUAUUUCACAGAAAAAAAAAAUGUUUUGUUUGGUUCUGUUCUAGACUUGUUUUUUCUUCUUGUAGAAGAAACAUGUUUAAACAAAAGUUCUUUAUGCUGAAUAAUUGUGAUGCUUUUAGCUGGUCAUCUGUCUUAUUUAAAUUAAAUAGAUUUUAAAUGCCAAUGUUCAGUGCCAAUUCUGCAUGAUUUUUCUUGGUCAAAUAAAAAUUUCACUCAAACCUUAUAGGUGUCGAGU